This 497-nucleotide ribosomal RNA is filed under the name uncultured bacterium. Its description in RNAcentral is "partial 16S ribosomal RNA". It matches the Rfam family "Bacterial small subunit ribosomal RNA", at positions 28 to 507 of the family's 1533-position model. The record is from RNAcentral.
GAUGAACGCUGGCGGCGUGCCUAAUACAUGCAAGUCGAGCGAACGGACGAGAAGCUUGCUUCUCUGAUGUUAGCGGCGGACGGGUGAGUAACACGUGGAUAACCUACCUAUAAGACUGGGAUAACUUCGGGAAACCGGAGCUAAUACCGGAUAAUAUUUUGAACCGCAUGGUUCAAAAGUGAAAGACGGUCUUGCUGUCACUUAUAGAUGGAUCCGCGCUGCAUUAGCUAGUUGGUAAGGUAACGGCUUACCAAGGCAACGAUGCAUAGCCGACCUGAGAGGGUGAUCGGCCACACUGGAACUGAGACGCGGUCCAUACUCCUACGGGAGGCAGCAGUAGGGAAUCUUCCGCAAUGGGCGAAAGCCUGACGGAGCAACGCCGCGUGAGUGAUGAAGGUCUUCGGAUCGUAAAACUCUGUUAUUAGGGAAGAACAUAUGUGUAAGGAACUGUGCACAUCUUGACGGUACCUAAUCAGAAAGCCACGGCUAACUACGUG